Molecule: ribosomal RNA, 1273 nt
Filed under: Staphylococcus aureus
Lineage: Bacteria; Bacillati; Bacillota; Bacilli; Caryophanales; Staphylococcaceae
Description: bacterial SSU rRNA
Rfam family: Bacterial small subunit ribosomal RNA
Source: RNAcentral
GCUAAUACCGGAUAAUAUUUUGAACCGCAUGGUUCAAAAGUGAAAGACGGUCUUGCUGUCACUUAUAGAUGGAUCCGCGCUGCAUUAGCUAGUUGGUAAGGUAACGGCUUACCAAGGCAACGAUGCAUAGCCGACCUGAGAGGGUGAUCGGCCACACUGGAACUGAGACACGGUCCAGACUCCUACGGAAGCAGCAGUAGGGAAUCUUCCGCAAUGGGCGAAAGCCUGACGGAGCAACGCCGCGUGAGUGAUGAAGGUCUUCGGAUCGUAAAACUCUGUUAUUAGGGAAGAACAUAUGUGUAAGUAACUGUGCACAUCUUGACGGUACCUAAUCAGAAAGCCACGGCUAACUACGUGCCAGCAGCCGCGGUAAUACGUAGGUGGCAAGCGUUAUCCGGAAUUAUUGGGCGUAAAGCGCGCGUAGGCGGUUUUUUAAGUCUGAUGUGAAAGCCCACGGCUCAACCGUGGAGGGUCAUUGGAAACUGGAAAACUUGAGUGCAGAAGAGGAAAGUGGAAUUCCAUGUGUAGCGGUGAAAUGCGCAGAGAUAUGGAGGAACACCAGUGGCGAAGGCGACUUUCUGGUCUGUAACUGACGCUGAUGUGCGAAAGCGUGGGGAUCAAACAGGAUUAGAUACCCUGGUAGUCCACGCCGUAAACGAUGAGUGCUAAGUGUUAGGGGGUUUCCGCCCCUUAGUGCUGCAGCUAACGCAUUAAGCACUCCGCCUGGGGAGUACGACCGCAAGGUUGAAACUCAAAGGAAUUGACGGGGACCCGCACAAGCGGUGGAGCAUGUGGUUUAAUUCGAAGCAACGCGAAGAACCUUACCAAAUCUUGACAUCCUUUGACAACUCUAGAGAUAGAGCCUUCCCCUUCGGGGGACAAAGUGACAGGUGGUGCAUGGUUGUCGUCAGCUCGUGUCGUGAGAUGUUGGGUUAAGUCCCGCAACGAGCGCAACCCUUAAGCUUAGUUGCCAUCAUUAAGUUGGGCACUCUAAGUUGACUGCCGGUGACAAACCGGAGGAAGGUGGGAAUGACGUCAAAUCAUCAUGCCCCUUAUGAUUUGGGCUACACACGUGCUACAAUGGACAAUACAAAGGGCAGCGAAACCGCGAGGUCAAGCAAAUCCCAUAAAGUUGUUCUCAGUUCGGAUUGUAGUCUGCAACUCGACUACAUGAAGCUGGAAUCGCUAGUAAUCGUAGAUCAGCAUGCUACGGUGAAUACGUUCCCGGGUCUUGUACACACCGCCCGUCACACCACGAGAGUUUGUAACACCC